RNAcentral lists this ribosomal RNA (497 nucleotides) under uncultured bacterium. Its description in RNAcentral is "partial 16S ribosomal RNA". It matches the Rfam family "Bacterial small subunit ribosomal RNA", at positions 28 to 507 of the family's 1533-position model. The record is from RNAcentral.
GAUGAACGCUGGCGGCGUGCCUAAUACAUGCAAGUCGAGCGAACGGACGAGAAGCUUGCUUCUCUGAUGUUAGCGGCGGACGGGUGAGUAACACGUGGAUAACCUACCUAUAAGACUGGGAUAACUUCGGGAAACGGGAGCUAAUACCGGAUGAUAUUUUGAACCGCAUGGUUCAAAAGUGAAAGACGGUCUUGCUGUCACUUAUAGAUGGAUCCGCGCUGCAUUAGCUAGUUGGUAAGGUAACGGCUUACCAAGGCAACGAUGCAUAGCCGACCUGAGAGGGUGAUCGGCCACACCGGAACUGAGACACGGUCCAGACUCCUACGGGAGGCAGCAGUAGGGAAUCUUCCGCAAUGGGCGAAAGCCUGACGGAGCAACGCCGCGUGAGUGAUGAAGGUCUUCGGAUCGUAAAACUCUGUUAUUAGGGAAGAACAUCUGUGUACGUAACUGUGCACAUCUUGACGGUACCUAAUCAGAAAGCAACGGCUAACUACGUG